UGGUCUUGCAGAUCGAGUCCUGCAAGCAGGAUGUAUGGUGCAGUGAAAAGAUUCUACAACAUUUGCAUAGUUCUGGGUACUCCCUGAAGCAUGAUUCCUAUUUUAUCUUACAUGAUACGUGACAGUUCCUGAGAGAAAUGGUGAGAAGGGCGGGGAUAGACGUCGGUGAUCCCAUAAAACGUGUUCAAUUUAUUAAUAAGAUUUUAGAAAAAGAUGAGACCCAGCAGCCUGUAGGCAUGGUCCCAGUACAGGACUUCAGAAGGAGCCACUUUUAGGGCUCUUACCAAAGUAAGAAGUCUGCAGAUUGGAGUGUACUGCAAAUAGGACCAGACGCUUUUCUGAUGUUUCUUCAAUUCCCAUCGAAGCAGCAAUUCACAGUGCAGCAGUUUAAAAUGGUACAAUACAAUAUUACUUAAGAUUGUUGUUGAUAUGAUAUUAAAAUGUUUGGCAACGUGGUUUAUAAUAUAGGAAUGAACUUAAUUACAACCCUUGGAAGUACAUAAACAAAUGCAGGUUCAGAAAUGUUGAGGGAAAUACAUUUUGUUUUCCUUUUUUUACUAGUAAGUUCUUCCCAUUCUCCCACGUUUUGCCUACAGUCAUGCUUUUCCAUUCACUGAUUAGAUUACCAUGCUGCCUGCUAAACAUAUUAUGCUCCUGAAAGUCACUCAGAAGCUCCAGCUGGUGCAGAUGCAGUGACCCGCUUCUUUAGUCAAACUGGUCAGAAGAAUCACACUGCAUCAGUACAUUAGUUACUGCUUCCCUUCAGAGUGCAAAUUAGCAUGCUUUUUUUUUUUUUUUUUCUUUUUCUUUUUUCCCCCCUCACUUUGAGAGCCUUACAUGACCUGAGACUUAACUACCUCAGGUACACAUUUUGUUCUUGUGCACCACUGUGAGUCUCUCAGAAUUGCUGAGACCGAGUGAUUUAGUAACUCUUUAGCUGCAGAUGAG
RNAcentral lists this long non-coding RNA (948 nucleotides) under Anas platyrhynchos platyrhynchos (common mallard). RNAcentral's name for it is "lncRNA (ENSAPLG00000030857.1)". Lineage: Eukaryota; Metazoa; Chordata; Aves; Anseriformes; Anatidae. The record is from RNAcentral.